AUUAAAAUUAAUAAAAAUAAUUUUAUAUAUUAAUUUUUUAGUAUAAUUUAUAGAAAAAAUUUUAUUUAUUAUAGUGAAGUAGUAUUGUAAAAGAAAAUUGAAAUAAAAUUUAAUUGUUUAAAAGUAGAAUUUAUUUUUUGUACCUUGUGUAUCAGGGUUUAUUAAAUAAAAAUUAAUUAUAUUAAUUUUCUCGAUUUUAAGAGAGCUAAUAAAUUAUUUUUUUUAUUGUUAAAUAAAUAUUUAUAAUAAUUUAUUGGUAAUGAAAUGUUAUUCGUUCUUAAAUAUAUCUAGUUUAUUUGGAAAUGAAUUUAAUUCAGAUAUUUUAAUUUUAAUGAUUUAAUUUGUUAAGUUAUUAAAUUUUAAUAUUAAUAAUUAAAGGGAUUAGCUUUUAAUUAAAAAUUUAUAAAUUAUUAAAUUAAUUUAAAAAAUGUAAGUUUAGAAAUAGCUAUCAUAAAUAAUUUGUUAUAAUUAAUUUAUAUAAAAAUAUUAUUUUAUAUGAUUUUAAAUUUUUUAUAAAUAAAUAAUUUUUAAUUUUAGAAAAUUAGAUAUAAUGAUAUAAUUAGUAUAUAAUUAAAAUAUUUAAAUAAUAAUUUAUAAAAGAUUAUUUAAAGGAAUUCGGCAAAUAUUUUACUCGCCUGUUUAACAAAAACAUGUCUUUUUGAUAUAUAUAUAAAGUCUAGCCUGCCCAAUGAAUUUAUUUUAAAUGGCUGCAGUAAUUUGACUGUACAAAGGUAGCAUAAUCAUUAGUUUUUUAAUUAAAAGCUUGUAUGAAAGGUUGGACGAGGUAAAAUCUGUCUCUAUUUAAUUUAUUGUAAAAUUUAAUUUUUAAGUUAAAAAGCUUAAAUAAUUAUAAAAGACGAGAAGACCCUAUAGAGCUUUAUAUUUUUAUUGAAUAUAAUUAAUUAAGAUUUAUAAAAGUUUUAUUUAUAAAAUUAUUUUAUUGGGGUAAUAGAAAGAUUAAAAAAAUUCUUUUUGAUUAUUAACAUUAAUUUAUGAUUUUUUAAUGAUCCAUUAUUAUUGAUUAUAAGAUUAAGUUACCUUAGGGAUAACAGCGUAAUUUUUUUAAAGAGUUCAUAUCGAUAAAAAAGUUUGCGACCUCGAUGUUGGAUUAAAGAUUAGUUUAGGUGUAGAAGUUUAAAUUUUUGGUCUGUUCGACCAUUGAAUCUUUACAUGAUCUGAGUUCAGACCGGUGUAAACCAGGUCGGUUUCUAUCUUUAUUAAAUUUAAAUAUUUUAGUACGAAAGGACCAAAUAUUUAAUAUAUUUAUAUUUAUAUUUUGAAUAUU
Molecule: ribosomal RNA, 1285 nt
Filed under: Harpalus sp.
Lineage: Eukaryota; Metazoa; Arthropoda; Insecta; Coleoptera; Carabidae
Description: 16S ribosomal RNA
Rfam family: Bacterial large subunit ribosomal RNA (bases 1045-1203)
Source: RNAcentral